GAUGAACGCUGGCGGCGUGCCUAAUACAUGCAAGUCGAGCGAACAGACGAGGAGCUUGCUCCUCUGACGUUAGCGGCGGACGGGUGAGUAACACGUGGAUAACCUACCUAUAAGACUGGGAUAACUUCGGGAAACCGGAGCUAAUACCGGAUAAUAUAUUGAACCGCAUGGUUCAAUAGUGAAAGACGGCUUUGCUGUCACUUAUAGAUGGAUCCGCGCCGCAUUAGCUAGUUGGUAAGGUAACGGCUUACCAAGGCAACGAUGCGUAGCCGACCUGAGAGGGUGAUCGGCCACACUGGAACUGAGACACGGUCCAGACUCCUACGGGAGGCAGCAAUAGGGAAUCUUCCGCAAUGGGCGAAAGCCUGACGGAGCAACGCCGCGUGAGUGAUGAAGGUCUUCGGAUCGUAAAACUCUGUUAUUAGGGAAGAACAAAUGUGUAAGUAACUAUGCACGUCUUGACGGUACCUAAUCAGAAAGCCACGGCUAACUACGUG
Molecule: ribosomal RNA, 497 nt
Filed under: uncultured bacterium
Lineage: Bacteria
Description: partial 16S ribosomal RNA
Rfam family: Bacterial small subunit ribosomal RNA
Source: RNAcentral